This 79-nucleotide transfer RNA is filed under the name Poikilospermum lanceolatum. RNAcentral describes it as "tRNA-Pro". It matches the Rfam family "tRNA". Rfam says of the family: Transfer RNA (tRNA) molecules are approximately 80 nucleotides in length. Their secondary structure includes four short double-helical elements and three loops (D, anti-codon, and T loops). Further hydrogen bonds mediate the characteristic L-shaped molecular structure. tRNAs have two regions of fundamental functional importance: the anti-codon, which is responsible for specific mRNA codon recognition, and the 3' end, to which the tRNAs corresponding amino acid is attached (by aminoacyl-tRNA synthetases). tRNAs cope with the degeneracy of the genetic code in two manners: having more than one tRNA (with a specific anti-codon) for a particular amino acid; and 'wobble' base-pairing, i.e. permitting non-standard base-pairing at the 3rd anti-codon position. Lineage: Eukaryota; Viridiplantae; Streptophyta; Magnoliopsida; Rosales; Urticaceae. RNAcentral also lists the same sequence under 9 other names. The record is from RNAcentral.
UUGAAAGGGAUGUAGCGCAGCUCGGUAGCGCGUUUGUUUUGGGUACAAAAUGUCGCGGGUUCAAAUCCUGUCAUCCCUA